GGUUAAGCGAAUGAAGCGUACACGGUGGAUGCCUAGGCAGUCAGAGGCGAUGAAGGACGUGCUAAUCUGCGAAAAGCGUCGGUAAGCUGAUAUGAAGCGUUAUAGCCGGCGAUGUCCGAAUGGGGAAACCCAGUGCAUUAAUGCACUAUCGUUUGAUGAAUUCAUAGUCAAACGAGGCGAACCGGGGGAACUGAAACAUCUCAGUACCCCGAGGAAAAGAAAUCAACCGAGAUUCCCCUAGUAGCGGCGAGCGAACGGGGAGUAGCCCAGAGUCAGCAUCGAUAUUAGCAUCAGGAGAAGGGUCUGGAAAGGCCAGCCAUAAAGGGUGAUAGCCCCGUAUCCGAAGGUGUUAGUAUCGUGAGCUCGAAGAGUAGGGCGGGACACGUGUUAUCCUGUCUGAAUAAGGGGGGACCAUCCUCCAAGGCUAAAUACUCCUGACUGACCGAUAGUGAACCAGUACCGUGAGGGAAAGGCGAAAAGAACCCCGGCGAGGGGAGUGAAAGAGAACCUGAAACCGUGUACGUACAAGCAGUGGGAGCCCCACCACCAAAGUAUUUCUGCAAGCGGUUUGACGGUUGGCGGCGCACAGCGACGCCCAACCCAUCCAAUCAAGCAGGGUGAAUACCAUCGAAUCAAGGCGCGAGGUUCAGGCCAAAUCAGGUAAAACCUGAAUCCGGUUGAAUCAAGCAAAUUGACGAAGAUGAGAGGGAUUGCCGAAGGCAAUCGCCGCAAAGUACGGAGUACUUUGGGGUGGGGUGACUGCGUACCUUUUGUAUAAUGGGUCAGCGACUUAUAUUCUGUAGCAAGGUUAACCGCAUAGGGGAGCCGUAGGGAAACCGAGUCUUAACUGGGCGUCAAGUUGCAGGGUAUAGACCCGAAACCCGGUGAUCUAGCCAUGGGCAGGUUGAAGGUUGGGUAACACUAACUGGAGGGCCGAACCGACUAAUGUUGAAAAAUUAGCGGAUGACUUGUGGCUGGUGUCAACGAUCACUGAAAACUGAUCCACUUUUUAUCUAAAUACGAUCAAUCAAAAUUGAUCCACUGUUUUACUCGGUUAUUGCUCCUGAUCGCCGCUUAUCUUUCAAUCGAUAGCUUUCACCGCUUAAUUGCAGUACAUGCGAAUGAUGAAGUAAACGAUCAAGCAUAGCGGCGGUUAAUGUUGCGUCAUCAGCAAAAGUACUAGGCCAUUGCCCAAAUGAUAAGUUACUCGUCAAUAUGACACUACCAUGCUCAUAACGCUUGGCAAUCACAUUAAAAAAUAGGUUUGCUUCCUCUCGCCCAAACGGCAGGUAUCCAAUCUCAUCUAUGAUCAACAACUUCGGAGCCAUCACCGAACGUGAUAGAUAUUGUUUGAGCUUAUUUUGUCGUUUGGCAGUUGAGAGUUGCAACAUCAGUUCAGCUGCUGUUGUAAAGCGAGUUUUCUUCUUGGCCUGUACUGCUUUUAACCCUAAUCCAAUAGCUAAAUGCGUUUUACCUACACCACUUGGGCCAAGCAAUACGACAUUUUCAUUACGUUCAAUAAAUGUUAAUGCGCUUAAUUCCUGUAUUUGUUGCUUAGGUACACUCGUUGCAAACUUAAAAUCGAACGUAUUAAGUUCUUUGUGUGCUGGGAAUCCUGCCAUCCGACUCAAGAGAUUACGAGUUCGUUCAUCUCGUUGUUGUUGCUCACAUUUUAAUAGGGACAGUAAAAACUCUCCGUAGCUUUUGUCUUGGGCAAUGCAUUGUUCGGCAAGUGAUGACCAACGAGUCGGAACAGAAUUUAAUUUCAAUGACUCACAUAGGUGCUCAAUUUGUUCAUGCAAUAACAUAUUCACCUCCCAGCAAUGCUUCAUAUACGCUGAUUGAGUGUUGCAAAUUGACAGAUUCAAGGGGCGGUACGAUACGAAUAUUAAGCGUAUUAGUCUGCGGGAUAGAUUGGCAAACCCUUGCUGGUAAGGGAAGAAGAUACUUAACUUCCUUAGCUAAUCUGUCUGCUGGCUUCUCUAAAGUUGUUCCAUGAAUCCGCUGAUGGGCAACGCGUUGUAACCAUGGACCCACUUUUGCAUUGGCUAUCUCGAUAUCCAGUUCAAGAUUAUGAGCACGAAGGUCGGUAUUUAAUGGCACGAUAAAGCUAUUUUUUAAAUAGUGGUUAAAGCGCUCUACUUUCCCUUUCGUUUUUGCCCUGUAGGGCUUGCAAGCCUUCAAUUUAAACCCGUAAUCUUUCGACAUUUGAAGCAUUUCGAGAUGCAAUUUAUGUUCACCUUCUGCAUAAGCAUCCCGUUCGAUGAUUAGGGCUUUUGCGUUAUCACACAAUACUUCCUGUGGCACACCACCAAAAUAGUCGAAAGCUUCUUUUAAACCUUGUUGCCAGGAUUCUGCUCGCUCAUUAUCAAAGAAUUUUACAUAACUCGCACGCGAGUAGCCUAGCGUUGCAACAAACGCUUUUAGUGAUUGUUUCCCUCGCCGGAUGGUGGUGAAGUCGAUUUGCAUUUGUUGACCUGGCUGUGUUUCAAAACGGACGACAGCUUCGGGAACAAUGCCUGGUUUAAAUUGACAAACAAAUCGGCGUAACUGAGCAAUACCUCCUUGAUAGCCUCUUUCAGCUACCUCAUCAAAUAAGACUGUUGCAGGUAUCCAAUCAGGUUUAGCCAAUUCAAUUCGCUGAAGCAAAUAAGGUUUAAAAGGUGCCAGUUUACUCGGUUGUUGACUUCUUUUAGCAUAAGUUGGCAUUGCCUGUUGUUGUAAAUGAUGUUUUACGGUGUUACGGGAAAUGCCCAAUUCACGGGCAAUUUUUCGAAGGCUUUGCCCUUGUGCAAAGCGAACAUGAAUAUCCACAAAUAUCUCCUUGGUUAACAUAAAUUACCCGUACAAAAAUGUACGAAUAAUACCAAGUGGAUCAGUUUUAGAUGAUCGUUAGUGGAUCAGUUUUGCAUGAUCGGUGACACUGGGGGUGAAAGGCCAAUCAAACCGGGAGAUAGCUGGUUCUCCCCGAAAGCUAUUUAGGUAGCGCCUCGUGAACUCAUCUUCGGGGGUAGAGCACUGUUUCGGCUAGGGGGUCAUCCCGACUUACCAACCCGAUGCAAACUCCGAAUACCGAAGAAUGUAAUCACGGGAGACACACGGCGGGUGCUAACGUCCGUCGUGAAGAGGGAAACAACCCAGACCGCCAGCUAAGGUCCCCAAGUCAUGGUUAAGUGGGAAACGAAGUGGGAAGGCUUAGACAGCCAGGAUGUUGGCUUAGAAGCAGCCAUCAUUUAAAGAAAGCGUAAUAGCUCACUGGUCGAGUCGGCCUGCGCGGAAGAUGUAACGGGGCUAAACCAUGCACCGAAGCUGCGGCAGCAACAGCAAUGUUGUUGGGUAGGGGAGCGUUCUGUAAGCCGUUGAAGGUGGAUUGAGAGGUCUGCUGGAGGUAUCAGAAGUGCGAAUGCUGACAUAAGUAACGAUAAAGCGGGUGAAAAACCCGCUCGCCGAAAGACCAAGGGUUCCUGUCCAACGUUAAUCGGGGCAGGGUAAGUCGACCCCUAAGGCGAGGCUGAAAAGCAUAGUCGAUGGGAAACGGGUUAAUAUUCCCGUACUAAGGGUUACUGCGAAGUGGGGACGGAGAAGGCUAGGCUAUCCGGGCGACGGUUGUCCCGGUUUAAGCGUGUAGGUGGGUCGUGCAGGCAAAUCCGUACGACUAUAACACUGAGGCGUGAUGACGAGCCACCAAGGUGGUGAAGUAGUUGAUACCCAGCUUCCAGGAAAAGCCGCUAAGCGAUAGGUAAUCAUUAAUCGUACCCCAAACCGACACAGGUGGUUAGGUAGAGAAUACUCAGGCGCUUGAGAGAACUCGGGUGAAGGAACUAGGCAAAAUGGUGCCGUAACUUCGGGAGAAGGCACGCUGGUGUUGGGUGAAAUGGUUAACCCAUGGAGCUGAAGCCAGUCGCAGAUACCAGCUGGCUGCAACUGUUUAUUAAAAACACAGCACUGUGCAAACACGAAAGUGGACGUAUACGGUGUGACGCCUGCCCGGUGCUGGAAGGUUAAUUGAUGGGGUAAGCCGUAAGGCGAAGCUCUUGAUCGAAGCCCCAGUAAACGGCGGCCGUAACUAUAACGGUCCUAAGGUAGCGAAAUUCCUUGUCGGGUAAGUUCCGACCUGCACGAAUGGCGUAAUGAUGGCCAGGCUGUCUCCACCCGAGACUCAGUGAAAUUGAACUCGCUGUGAAGAUGCAGUGUACCCGCGGCAAGACGGAAAGACCCCGUGAACCUUUACUAUAGCUUGACACUGAACAUUGAGCCUUGAUGUGUAGGAUAGGUGGGAGGCUAGGAAGUGUGGACGCCAGUCUGCAUGGAGCCAACGUUGAAAUACCACCCUUUAAUGUUUGAUGUUCAUGGUUAGGAAUCUCAAUCAAUACAGUAAGGCAUUAAUGGAGGUGUUUUGAACUCAAUAUUUCUAUUAAAUUCUGACAGUUUUCUCGUUGAUUAACCAUGAGAACAGUAAUUCGGUUAAAUUAUCAUCUAAAAGCCUAAUAAUAGGCACACUGCUCCUAGGCUGCGGUUUGUAACCAUCGUUUUUUGACCAUUUUAUCCCGCCUUUCUGACAGUAAAGUGACGGCGUGUAUUCCUUUUUCCGCACUCAUAAACCGCAAUCGGUUUCCACAUAAAAUACAUUGGUACGGGUCAGUAUUUAAAAAACCUUUGAUAAGGGCUCCAAACCCAGGUUUUUCAGGCACAUUAGGAGAUAUCAUGUCUAACGCCUCAUACACCUUCGGUAAUAAGCACCCGCGUUUGCGAUUGGCUAAAAAACCGUAAUAACGGAUCAUCUUAAAAUGUCGCGCAGGGAUAUGACUGACAUAACGCCGUAUCAUUUCUUCUUGGGAUAAGGUCUGUCGUCUGUAUUGUUGGCUGUGGUGGUCAUAGUAAUGAUGAACCACGGUGCCGCCGCUGUAGUGUUUCAAUUGAGAAGCGGAGAUAGGGGGACGUUUAAGAUAACGGCCCAGAUAUUUCACAUUAUGCCAGGCCCCGCGUGUCUUUUUGGCAAAAUGUACUUUCCAAUAACGUUGAAACUGGGCAUUGAGGUAACGACACCAGGUCUGAUAAUUGCGAAUGUGCCCGAAGCCAGGCAAUUUAUUGGGUUGUAACUGAAAAUAGUUAUCCCUAAGGAGUCGAAUGACCGCACUGCGCCAGACCUUUUCAACGUCUUUCUUUUUAAAGAAAAUCGGUUUCCAGGUGUCAUAUUGAGUGAGUCCCCCACGCGUGACGGAUAAAUGAAUAUGCGGAUGUUGAUUGAGUUGGCGACCGUAAGUAUGCAGCGCACAAAAAAUGCCAAUUUCGAGGCCUUGGCGCUUGGCGUGUUUGAGCAUGGCGCGGGUUGCACAGCGAAAGAGUUGGUUGAGCAAGCACCAGUUAUUGUUAAAAAAAGGCCAAAGCAGGUGAGGCAUAGUGAGGGUAAUAUGUUGCCAUUCGCAAUCCGGCAAAAUAUGGCGCUGCUGGGCAAUCCACUGUUCGGUGCCUUUGAGGCCACACGCACUGCAGGCUUUGGAUUUACAGGUUUGACAAAAGAAGCGUGAAUGAGAGCAUUCAGGUGAAGAACAGCAAUAACGGCGAACGCCCAUAGCGCAGGUGCUGCAGGCGAGCAUCUUUUCGACAGAGAGUAGUUGCCAUUCAUCCACGUGAUUAUUUUCGAUGAAAAGGUUCCAUCCGUCAUCGUAUUGAAAUAGCAGUUUUGCAGGUCUGGGGAUGUACAUAGAGCAGAGUAUAAAAGACGAGAAGGGAAUUGCCUAGAAAUAGAGCGCCUUUGCCGCGAUGCUCACGCCAAAGGCGUGCUUAUGUUCUAACUUAGGCCCGUUAUCCGGGCUGAGGACAGUGUCUGGUGGGUAGUUUGACUGGGGCGGUCUCCUCCCAAAGUGUAACGGAGGAGCACGAAGGUUGGCUAAUCACGGUCGGACAUCGUGAGGUUAGUGCAAAGGCAUAAGCCAGCUUGACUGCGAGCGUGACGGCGCGAGCAGGUACGAAAGUAGGUCUUAGUGAUCCGGUGGUUCUGAAUGGAAGGGCCAUCGCUCAACGGAUAAAAGGUACUCCGGGGAUAACAGGCUGAUACCGCCCAAGAGUUCAUAUCGACGGCGGUGUUUGGCACCUCGAUGUCGGCUCAUCACAUCCUGGGGCUGAAGUAGGUCCCAAGGGUAUGGCUGUUCGCCAUUUAAAGUGGUACGCGAGCUGGGUUUAGAACGUCGUGAGACAGUUCGGUCCCUAUCUGUCGUGGGCGAAGGAAGAUUGAGGGGGGCUGCUCCUAGUACGAGAGGACCGGAGUGGACGCACCACUGGUGUACAGGUUGUCAUGCCAAUGGCAUCGCCUGGUAGCUAAGUGCGGAAGAGAUAACCGCUGAAAGCAUCUAAGCGGGAAACUUGCCUCAAGAUGAGUCUUCCCUGACAGUAAUGUCCUAUAAGGGGUGUUCGAGACGAGGACGUAGAUAGGCUGGGUGUGUAAGCGUAGCGAUACGUUGAGCUAACCAGUACUAAUGACCCGAGAGGCUUAACCUG
This 6498-nucleotide ribosomal RNA is filed under the name Arsenophonus nasoniae (son-killer infecting Nasonia vitripennis). RNAcentral's name for it is "23S ribosomal RNA". It matches the Rfam family "Bacterial large subunit ribosomal RNA". Lineage: Bacteria; Pseudomonadati; Pseudomonadota; Gammaproteobacteria; Enterobacterales; Morganellaceae. The record is from RNAcentral.